Molecule: ribosomal RNA, 1421 nt
Filed under: metagenome
Description: bacterial LSU rRNA
Rfam family: Bacterial large subunit ribosomal RNA
Source: RNAcentral
UAAAGCUAAUCUGAGCAGGGUAAGCCGGCCCCUAAGGCGAGGCCGAAAGGCGUAGUCGAUGGGAACCAGGUUAAUAUUCCUGGGCCAGUGGGAUGUGACGGAUCUCGAAGAUUGUCUGCCCUUAUCGGAUUGGGUGGGCCGUUCAGAGGUUCCUGGAAAUAGCCCCACAUCAGACCGUACCCUAAACCGACACAGGUGGACUGGUAGAGUAUACCAAGGCGCUUGAGAGAACCACGUUAAAGGAACUCGGCAAAAUGCUCCCGUAAGUUCGCGAGAAGGGAGCCCCAUAUGUACGCAAGUAUGUGUGGGGGGCACAAACUAGGGGGUGGCGACUGUUUACUUAAAACACAGGGCUGUGCGAAGCCGUAGGCGACGUAUACAGUCUGACGCCUGCCCGGUGCUGGAAGAUUAAGAGGAGGGGUGCAAGCUCUGAAUUGGAGUCCCAGUAAACGGCGGCCGUAACUAUAACGGUCCUAAGGUAGCGAAAUUCCUUGUCGGGUAAGUUCCGACCUGCACGAAUGGCGUAACGAUCUCCCCGCUGUCUCUAACGUGGACUCAGCGAAAUUGAACUGUCUGUCAAGAUGCAGACUACCCGCGGUUAGACGGAAAGACCCCAUGAACCUUUACUCCAGCUUUGCACUGGUAUCAGGAUUGUGAUGUGCAGGAUAGGUGGUAGGCAUUGAAGCGGGGACGCCAGUCUUCGUGGAGCCUCCCUUGAGAUACCACCCUUCGCCAUCUUGAUAUCUAACCGCGGCCCGUUAUCCGGGUCCGGGACCCUGCAUGGUGGGGAGUUUGACUGGGGCGGUCGCCUCCCAAAUUGUAACGGAGGCGCGCGAUGGUUGGCUCAGACCGGUCGGAAAUCGGUCGUUGAGUGCAAUGGCAGAAGCCAGCCUGACUGCAAGACUGACAAGUCGAGCAGAGACGAAAGUCGGUCAUAGUGAUCCGGUGGUCCCAAGUGGGAGGGCCAUCGCUCAACGGAUAAAAGGUACUCUGGGGAUAACAGGCUGAUGAUGCCCAAGAGUCCAUAUCGACGGCAUCGUUUGGCACCUCGAUGUCGGCUCAUCUCAUCCUGGGGCUGGAGCAGGUCCCAAGGGUAUGGCUGUUCACCAUUUAAAGAGGUACGUGAGCUGGGUUUAGAACGUCGUGAGACAGUUCGGUCCCUAUCUGCCGUGGGUGCAGGAGACUUGAGAAGAGUUGACCCUAGUACGAGAGGACCGGGUUGAACGAACCACUGGUGGACCAGUUAUCGUGCCAAUGGUAGUGCUGGGUAGCUAUGUUCGGACAGGAUAACCGCUGAAGGCAUCUAAGCGGGAAGCCCCCUUCAAAACAAGGUCUCCCUUGAGGGCCGUGGAAGACCACCACGUCGAUAGGCCAGAGGUGUAAGUGCAGCAAUGCAUUCGGCUGACUGGUACUAAUUGCCC